UCUUGGUCAUUUAGAGGAAGUAAAAGUCGUAACAAGGUUUCCGUAGGUGAACCUGCGGAAGGAUCAUUACCGAGUGAGGGCCCUUUGGGUCCAACCUCCCACCCGUGUUUAUUUACCUUGUUGCUUCGGCGGGCCCGCCUUAACUGGCCGCCGGGGGGCUUACGCCCCCGGGCCCGCGCCCGCCGAAGACACCCUCGAACUCUGUCUGAAGAUUGUAGUCUGAGUGAAAAUAUAAAUUAUUUAAAACUUUCAACAACGGAUCUCUUGGUUCCGGCAUCGAUGAAGAACGCAGCGAAAUGCGAUACGUAAUGUGAAUUGCAAAUUCAGUGAAUCAUCGAGUCUUUGAACGCACAUUGCGCCCCCUGGUAUUCCGGGGGGCAUGCCUGUCCGAGCGUCAUUGCUGCCCUCAAGCCCGGCUUGUGUGUUGGGCCCCGUCCUCCGAUUCCGGGGGACGGGCCCGAAAGGCAGCGGCGGCACCGCGUCCGGUCCUCGAGCGUAUGGGGCUUUGUCACCCGCUCUGUAGGCCCGGCCGGCGCUUGCCGAUCAACCCAAAUUUUUAUCCAGGUUGACCUCGGAUCAGGUAGGGAUACCCGCUGAACUUAAGCAUAUCAAUAAGCGGGAGGA
This 624-nucleotide ribosomal RNA is filed under the name fungal sp. APA-2013. Its description in RNAcentral is "eukaryotic LSU rRNA". The stretch from base 245 to 397 matches the Rfam family "5.8S ribosomal RNA". The record is from RNAcentral. Lineage: Eukaryota; Fungi.